UUAGGGGCCCCAGGUGAGAGAGAGGGGCCGCCCUCGCUCUCGUACCCUGACGUCUCCUCCUCCUCCGCGCUGCUGCUGAAACCUGGCUCUGAUGCUAUCAGAAAACAAAGACAAAUCAAUAAAGAUUAAAAUAUGAAGUCAGAAGCCGGGAAGGCUCUCAGAAGCAGUGCCAGAGGUGCUCGGGACGUCCUGACCGGGAGAGACCCAUGAGUUUGAGGGAAGUGUGGACGCCGAGGCCUGGCUGCUUUGAGAAAGCCACUCGAUGGAAAAAUGCCCCUUCAUCUUUGAGAACCAGCUGUGUCUAAAUCCAGCAAAGAAAGACAGAUAUCCAGUAUAACAACAAGCAGCUGUGCAGUUCUUCUUCUUUAGGCGGGUAUUGGUAUCAAAGCAGGCGGCUCUUUUGAAGUGGCAGGUAGAGGUUAAUGGGCUGUUUUAGAAACACUACACGAGUAUGGAGACAGUAGUCUGCAGAGACCCAACUACUGACGGAGAUAACUGCCG
This is a long non-coding RNA of Onychostoma macrolepis, 501 nucleotides long. RefSeq lists it as uncharacterized. The record is from RefSeq and is a predicted model, not a curated record. The transcript has 3 exons. NCBI's taxonomy places the organism in Eukaryota, Metazoa, Chordata, Actinopteri, Cypriniformes, Cyprinidae.